This 285-nucleotide long non-coding RNA is filed under the name Spirodela polyrhiza (greater duckweed). RNAcentral's name for it is "long non-coding RNA (SPOL_LNC000298)". The record is from RNAcentral. Lineage: Eukaryota; Viridiplantae; Streptophyta; Magnoliopsida; Alismatales; Araceae.
GUGGGGAUGUCCAUGUCGACGCCGUCGACGCCCUGGAAGCGGUGGUGCUCGAGGUGGUAUUUUUGGAAGGUGACGGACAUGGGGACGCCGAUGGGGAGGUUGGCGAAGAUGCCCAGCCAGCGGUUGUAGGAGGGGGUGGAGAAGGCCAGGUUGUGGCUCAGCUCGUGGAUGGCCAGGAAGAGGUUGUGGUUGAGGAAGGACCCGAAGAAGUAGGCCACCGAGAAGAUCUUCAGCCACCCGGCGUUGUGCAGGAAAGCAGCAGUCCAGAGCUGGAGCAAGACCACC